This 77-nucleotide transfer RNA is filed under the name Parvularcula sp. RNAcentral describes it as "tRNA-Met". It matches the Rfam family "tRNA". From Rfam's summary of the family: Transfer RNA (tRNA) molecules are approximately 80 nucleotides in length. Their secondary structure includes four short double-helical elements and three loops (D, anti-codon, and T loops). The record is from RNAcentral. RNAcentral also lists the same sequence under 1 other name. Lineage: Bacteria; Pseudomonadati; Pseudomonadota; Alphaproteobacteria; Parvularculales; Parvularculaceae.
GGCCGGGUAGCUCAGUUGGUGAGAGCGCAGGAUUCAUAACCCUGAGGUCGGCAGUUCAAUUCUGCCCCCGGCUACCA